GGGAGGUAGUGACAAUAAAUAACAAUACGGGAUUCUUUUGGAUCUCGUAAUUGGAAUGAGUACAAUUUAAAUCUCUUAACGAGGAACAAUUGGAGGGCAAGUCUGGUGCCAGCAGCCGCGGUAAUUCCAGCUCCAAUAGCGUAUAUUAAAGUUGUUGCAGUUAAAAAGCUCGUAGUUGAAUUUCGGGAUCAAUAUAUCGGUCAUGCUUAGGUAUGUACUGGUUUUAUUGGUUCUCACCUUCUAAAGAACCAUAAUGUCAUUCAUUUGAUGUUAUGGGGAAUUAGGACUGUUACCUUGAAAAAAUUAGAGUGUUUAAAGCAAGCUUACGCUUGAAUACAUUAGCAUGGAAUAAUGAAAUAGGACAUCCGAUUCUAUUUUGUUGGUUUCUAGGAUCGAUGUAAUGAUUAAUAGGGAUAGUUGGG
RNAcentral lists this ribosomal RNA (422 nucleotides) under uncultured Glomeraceae. Its description in RNAcentral is "SSU rRNA". It matches the Rfam family "Eukaryotic small subunit ribosomal RNA", at positions 459 to 886 of the family's 1831-position model. Lineage: Eukaryota; Fungi; Glomeromycota; Glomeromycetes; Glomerales; Glomeraceae. The record is from RNAcentral.